CCGACAAAGAUACAAUCUCGGCAGUCCUGAAAUCGUUAGUUUGUGGUUAACAAACAUUUCGAGAUUUGACUUGGAAGUUGAAAAGACAUUUGAAAGUUGCAAGGAAGAUGAAGAUCGUUCAAGUGCUUGUUUUAGUAUUUGUUAUACUGUACCUGGGGGAAACAUGUGAUGGCCGUGCGAGUGAAAUGCAGAAUUCUUGCAGUUGUAAUGGUGUACAAGGACGGUGCGUUGCGUUCAAAUGCCCAGAAGGCAUGAAUGAUUGCCAUCAUGGUGUUCCUCCAAC
Long non-coding RNA from Dendronephthya gigantea, 283 nucleotides. RefSeq lists it as uncharacterized. The transcript is spliced from 3 exons. Lineage: Eukaryota; Metazoa; Cnidaria; Anthozoa; Malacalcyonacea; Nephtheidae. The record is from RefSeq and is a predicted model, not a curated record.